GGGUCCAGUAGUAAGGUGACGCCUGCCCAGUGAGGCAUCAACCCUUAAACGGCCGCGCAUAAAAACGUGCAAAGGUAGCAAAAUCAUUUGUCCUCUAAAUAGGGACCAGUAUGAACGGCAACAUGAGAAAGAAACUGUCUCUUUAGGCUAGCCAAUGAAUCUGACCUGCCUGUACAAAUGCAGGCAUAAAAAAACAAGACAAAAAGACCCUGUGAAGCUUUAAAUGUAGAUCAAUAAACUGAUCAGCACAUUUUUGGUUGGGGCAACCAAAGAGAAAUAUAAACCUCACAACCAGUCAUAAGGCCAACAAGCCAACUGACAAAACAACAUAGACCCAGUAUUACUGAUCAAAGAACCAAGUUACUCCAGGGAUAACAGCGCUACAUUCUUGAAGAGUCCAUAUCAACAAGAAUACCUACGACCUCGAUGUUGGAUUAGGGUACCCAGAUGGCGCAAAAGUUAUCAACGGUUCGUUUGUUCAACGAUUAAAACCCCGCGUGAUCUGAGUUCAAAACCGGAAACGAUCGUCCUGUUUUAAAAAAAAGGUGGUCUGAAUUCCAACCCGGAGAUCUUCUUGUUAUAAAAAAAAGUGGUUUGUGUUUAUCACCCGGGGUUUCUUUUUUUUUAAAAAGGGGUGUGUGGGGUUUUCAGCGGGGGGUUUUUUUUUUUAUAACCGAGGAGGCUGUCGCCAA
RNAcentral lists this ribosomal RNA (692 nucleotides) under Coryphophylax subcristatus. RNAcentral describes it as "partial 16S ribosomal RNA". It matches the Rfam family "Bacterial large subunit ribosomal RNA", at positions 1836 to 2712 of the family's 2925-position model. The record is from RNAcentral. Lineage: Eukaryota; Metazoa; Chordata; Lepidosauria; Squamata; Agamidae.